GUGGGGAAUCUUGCACAAUGGGGGAAACCCUGAUGCAGCGACGCCGCGUGAGCGAUGAAGCCCUUCGGGGUGUAAAGCUCUUUCGGCAGGAACGAUAAUGACGGUACCUGCGGAAGAAGCUGCGGCUAACUACGUGCCAGCAGCCGCGGUAAUACGUAGGCAGCAAGCGUUGUUCGGAGUUACUGGGCGUAAAGGGUGUGUAGGCGGCUUCGUAAGUUCGGUGUGAAAUCUCCUGGCUUAACUGGGAGGGUGCGCCGAAAACUGCGGAGCUGGAGCGCAGGAGAGGAAAGCAGAAUUCCUGGUGUAGCGGUGAAAUGCGUAGAUAUCAGGAGGAAUACCGGUGGUGAAGGCGGCUUUCUGGACUGCUGCUGACGCUGAUACACGAAAGCGUGGGGAGCAAACAGGAUUAGAAACCCCAGUAGUCC
RNAcentral lists this ribosomal RNA (425 nucleotides) under uncultured bacterium. RNAcentral describes it as "bacterial SSU rRNA". It matches the Rfam family "Bacterial small subunit ribosomal RNA", at positions 354 to 796 of the family's 1533-position model. The record is from RNAcentral.